GAUCAUGGCUCAGAGUGAACGCUGGCGGCAGGCCUAACACAUGCAAGUCGAGCGGCAGCGCGGGGGCAACCCUGGCGGCGAGCGGCGGACGGGUGAGGAAUACAUCGGAAUCUGCCUUGUUGUGGGGGAUAACGUAGGGAAACUUACGCUAAUACCGCAUGAGACCGUAAGGUGAAAGUGGGGGAUCGCAAGACCUCACGCGACAAGAUGAGCCGAUGUCGGAUUAGCUAGUUGGUGAGGUAAAGGCUCACCAAGGCAACGAUCCGUAGCUGGUCUGAGAGGAUGAUCAGCCACACUGGGACUGAGACACGGCCCAGACUCCUACGGGAGGCAGCAGUGGGGAAUAUUGGACAAUGGGCGCAAGCCUGAUCCAGCCAUGCCGCGUGUGUGAAGAAGGCCUUCGGGUUGUAAAGCACUUUUGUUGGGAAAGAAAUCCUGUCGAUUAAUACUCGGCGGGGAUGACGGUACCCAAAGAAUAAGCACCGGCUAACUUCGUG
RNAcentral lists this ribosomal RNA (497 nucleotides) under uncultured bacterium. RNAcentral's name for it is "bacterial SSU rRNA". It matches the Rfam family "Bacterial small subunit ribosomal RNA", at positions 15 to 507 of the family's 1533-position model. The record is from RNAcentral.